RNAcentral lists this ribosomal RNA (402 nucleotides) under uncultured bacterium. RNAcentral describes it as "bacterial SSU rRNA". It matches the Rfam family "Bacterial small subunit ribosomal RNA", at positions 355 to 774 of the family's 1533-position model. The record is from RNAcentral.
UGGGGAAUCUUGCACAAUGGGGGCAACCCUGAUGCAGCGACGCCGCGUGAGCGAUGAAGCCCUUCGGGGCGUAAAGCUCUUUCGACCGGAACGAUAAUGACGGUACCGGGAGAAGAAGCUGCGGCUAACUACGUGCCAGCAGCCGCGGUAAUACGUAGGCAGCAAGCGUUGUUCGGAGUUACUGGGCGUAAAGAGUGCGUAGGCGGCGAGCCAAGUUUGGUGUGAAAUCUCCCGGCUUAACCGGGAGGGUGCGCCGAAAACUGGUUGGCUGGGGUAUGGGAGAGGAAAGCGGAAUUCCUGGUGUAGCGGUGAAAUGCGUAGAUAUCAGGAGGAACACCUGCGGUGUAGACAGCUUUCUGGACCAAAACUGACGCUGAGGCACGAAAGCGUGGGUAGCAAACA